Molecule: non-coding RNA, 16308 nt
Organism: Rattus norvegicus (Norway rat)
Lineage: Eukaryota; Metazoa; Chordata; Mammalia; Rodentia; Muridae
Source: RefSeq, a predicted model, not a curated record
CUACCCGCAUUUCAUCUCCUUUAAUUUUUCUUAAGGCAUUUGGUCAUGGAAUUUCACAAAAAGUAUUUAACCUCCAUAUUGAAGCAAGGUUUUGUUUGUUUGUUUGUUUUGUUUUGUUUUGUUUUGUUUUUUUUAAACCUCGAACGCCCAUUUUUUACAGCCUUUCCUUGUGGCCACAGUGUCAUCUUAAUGACCUCUCCGGCCUCUACAAGCUGCCUUAAAUUCUUUGAGUCUAGAUUUUUUUUUUCCUUUGCAUAGAAUCCAGUAGCUGACACAUUGAGCUAGAUACAUACCACAACAGAAUAUUUGUCUCUUGCCUAUGAGUUAAAAACAAACAAAAAAACAUUCCAAGGAACUCGCGGAUUUGUAAAACCAUAGCUCAGCUAGGGUUGCUGGGCACUGUAUGCUCCAAUGCAGUAAUUUGCAUACGAAACUUUAUUUACUGACUUGAUCUUCAGCCAGAGUCCGCACUUGGUUUCUAGCAGAAUUGCAGGUAACUAUUAUUUCCUUGUAUGGACAGGACACGGUUUUGACUCACUGAUAUUUUUGGUAACUUGAAGCCUUCAUUGAAUUUGAUAGCUGGAGCUGAGUCUCAGACUGAUCAUUAGAAGUCUUAGGAUGCAAUUAGCCCCGUCACCCACAACCCAAUGCCCAGAACCCUCCCCAACCCGUCUGCUCUACCGGAGCUAACUUCCCAGGACCCUAAAGCAGCUUAACCCUCUCAGGGCUCAGGGCGUGCAGUAUCUCUUGGGGGUUCAGGUCUGACUCUGUUAGCACAGCAUCCGUGCAGCCGCCAGGGGGACCCCGACCCACCCAGGCUGCAUCUGAUAAGAAAGCAGCCGAGGGGCGUGGAACCGAGGGGCCUAUGUCUCCUGCUUCCAGAAAACAGAGUCCGCCGGGGACCCCCAGUUCUUAUUAGGACAGGAGGGGCAGGGAUCUCCCGUUCUGGAACCCGGGUCCAGCCGUGAUGAGAAGCGAGUGGGUGUGUCCGCUUCCGCCCGCUGGCCUUCAGACGAAGCAGAGCGCCUGGAAGCGGUACUUUGUUCCCGAAAUGGGUUUUGUAUGCGCGCCAUCCCGGCGCUAGAAGUACAACUUUGCAGCCAGGGCGCCGGGCAGCUGGGUUGGGGUCCGGGGGGAAGGGCGGGUCCUGCCCGCAGCUCUCCGCAAAGCUAGGCGGCGGGGCCGGCGGAGUUCCCACGGGUCGUGGGCGGCGGUGAGAUUAGCACCGUCUGGGUCCCCGGCUGGCGGCGACGCUCCGGGAAGCCCGUCCCGCCCUCGCUCCCGAUCCUCCUCUUGGCGGCUUCGGGGGCUAGAAUUCGUCAGGAACCAAGCCCAAAACUUUCCCUCGAGCCCCGUGUUCCUUUUGUCUUCCUUGGCGGCGGCGGAGACGCCUUAGCUGCGAUCCCUUGUCCUGGCCUCGCUCACCGAGUCUCACCGGUACCCUAGAAGCACAGGGGUGCUGGGGUUCCGCGCGUCCGAUGGCGGCGGCCGCGUCCCCCAGAUGUGCGAGUCAGAGCGCCUGCACCCCGGCCUGACUCAUCCUCCCGCGGUGACCCCACCGCGUCCUCAGCCGGAGCCCCACGGGGAUGGGGAGUGAGACCGCGGCUGCCGGCGGCUGCCCAGAUUCCUCCUGACGCCCCCGACCCCGCCGCCUCUCCCGCUGGUCCCCGGAGACGUACGCCUUCGCGACAGCUAGGAGAGCGAAGAGCCCCGAGAGGCCACCGGAACCCCGAGACCCGGCGCUCAGGACAGACAAGUGGAUACUGAUCUGCCUGGACUGUUGUGAAGAUUAAAUCAGGCAAAACAAGUUACAAAUAUGAGAGCCCAAGAGGAAGCUAUGAUAGCCACUGGUGGGGUCAUCACCGGCCUGGCGGCCCUGAAGCGGCAGGACUCUGCCAGGUCCCAGCAACACAUCAACCUCAGCCCGCUGCCUGCUACCCAGGACCAGAAACCUGUCAGACGGCGCCCGCGAGCUGACGUCGUGGUGGUCCGUGGGAAAAUCCGACUUUAUUCUCCAUCUGGAUUUUUCCUCAUUCUGGGAGUACUGGUGUCCAUCGUAGGAAUCGCCAUGGCAGUCCUUGGAUAUUGGCCCCAGAAGGAGCAUUUCAUCGACGCAGAGACCACUCUGUCCACCAAUGAGACUCAGGUGGUUCGGAACCAGGGCGGUGUGGUGGUGCGAUUCUUCGAGCAGCAUCUACACUCCGAUAAAAUGAAGAUGCUUGGCCCGUUCACCAUGGGUAUCGGCAUCUUUAUUUUCAUCUGUGCCAAUGCCAUUCUUCAUGAGAACCGCGACAAAGAAACCAAAAUCAUCCACAUGAGGGAUAUCUAUUCCACAGUCAUCGACAUCCACACGCUGAGACUCAAGGAGCAGAAGCAAGCGAACGGCCUGUACGCAGGUUUGCUGGGAGAUGCCGAGGUGAAGCAGAACGGAAGCCCCUGCGCAUCCAGGCUGGCUGCCACCACCCUGGCCUCCUUCUCAGGGAUGCGGAACAGCUUUCGUGUGGACAGCUCUGUGGAGGAGGAUGAGCUGAUGUUGACUGAAAGUAAGAGCCCGAGGCACCUCAUGCCCCCAUUGCUUUCUGACAGUGCAGUCUCUGUCUUUGGCCUUUAUCCACCUCCAGCCAAGACCACCGAUGACAAGACCAGCAGCUCCAAGAAGUGUGACACCAAAUCGAUCGUGUCGUCAUCCAUCAGUGCUUUUACGCUCCCUGUGAUCAAGCUUAACAACUGUGUCAUUGAUGAGCCCAGUAUAGACAGCAUCACCGAGGUCGCAGACAACCUCAAAAGUAGGUCCAGGAAUCUUUCAAUGGAUUCCCUUGUGGUCCCACUGCCAAGCUCUGGCGAGCCCGCCAGCACAUUACUCCCAAGGAACAAUUCCGUUGGAGAGUCCCUAUCGAGUCAGUACAAGUCCUCUGUACCCGGGACUGGACAGCUCUUGUCUCCUGGGGCUGCGAGAAGACAGUUUGGAUCCAACACAUCCUUACAUUUGCUCUCUUCUCAUUCCAAAUCCCUAGACUUAGACCGAGGUCCUUCCACACUCACGGUGCAGGCAGAACAAAGGAAGCACCCGAGUUGGCCCCGAUUGGAUCGGAGUAACAGCAAAGGCUAUAUGAGACUAGAGAACAAAGAGGACCCAAUGGAUCGACUGCUCGUUCCUCAAACAGCAAUCAAAAAAGACUUUACGAAUAAAGAGAAACUCCUUAUGAUCUCAAGAUCCCAUAACAACUUGAGUUUUGAACAUGAUGAGUUUUUGAGUAACAACUUGAAGCGAGGAACUUCAGAGACAAGGUUUUAGUGUUUAAAAAAAUAGACCGUGUUCCGUGGAGGUAUAUGCUACUUUAGCCAGUGUGCUCCUCCCUUUUAAAGCAUUGGUCGGAAGCCUUUCAAAAUCAAAUUUCGGUGUGUUAGAAAUAGCUGGUUAAUUCUGUAAUGAAGAUGGCUGUAUGUGUGGGUUCUUUUUCCCUACAAAACUGUAGAUUAUCACGUGAGAUUUUUUUGUUUUCUCACUCUCUGAGAGCAUGGUUUCUUUUGUUAACGUAGAUGCAAAAUACCUGCAUUCAUAUUAAGAACUUGGCUUUACUUUCAAAUUCUAUCACCGAUUAUCAUCUUCAUAGAGUGACCAGUGGCCAGUACAGAAAGCGCAGAGUACCAAAGUGGGCAAGGAACGUUAAAUUCAGGUCCAAUACUCAAUAGACAUAUUUAUAAACGACGGUCUGCACGAAGAAGGCAUACGAGGACAUCUUGCCCCGCGGCUUGUUGGGGUCCCCCUUGCCCAUGAUGACGGCGCAGCGUCUACCUGGUGCGAGCUCUUCCCUCAGACCUCCACAGAGAGACUUCCUUCCCCAAGCUCCGGCGAGAACUGGCUUCUCUGUUUCUCUUCUUAAAGCAUCUCUUCCUGGCUUUCAGACGGCUGCCUUCUAGUGAGAAUUCACGUUGUCCUCACAGGUCUUGUACAUUCUUAGUGUCACUGUAUACAUCCAAAUUUUCUUUUUCUAAGAACAACAGUCAGGGAUGCAUUAGGGCCCACCUCCCAAGAUCCUCGUCCCAAUGCAACCAAGUCAUUAACUAACAGAACUCUCUCUAAAUACAGCUGUAUUCUUUGGUGGGAGGGGGUGAGUGGGUGGAGGGAACUGAGGUCUCAGCCCAGGAACUGGAGGUCAAAGCAUGAUUCAGUCCAUAAUGCUGUGUUCGAGAACAGCCCUUAAAAUGACAGAACUAGGUCAACCCACCUUUAAAUGGCAGGAGGGCAGAUGCUCCUCAUGCUUCAAACCAGGUAAGCUAAUUUGCAUUUGUCUAUAAGCAUUUACUCACUGUGUAAGGUGAUAAAAUAAAGAGAUGACUGUAGGAAGUCUCUAUAGACAGGAGCUUAUUGUUCUUAUACCUCUAACGUGCUUUACAGAAAGCUGCAAACUGCUGCACCAUCUUUAGCUUGGAAUAUUUUUUUCUCUUCUCAUUGGUCCACUGCAGAAUUGUUUUACUGCAGAAUUGGCUGGUUCUUUUUUUUUUUUUUAAUCUUACCUUAAUUGUGUUUAAUAGUUUUGAAAUGUAUAAUCUUUUAGGGCUUUCUCAUUACCAGUACAUAUUUUAUCCCUAGGUUCAUGAUGCAUGUAUAAAAUACUAAUUCAUCAAACUUGUUUGCAGAACACUUGUCCAUUUUACUUAACUGUAGUCAAAGCUAUAGCAUUUCUAGUACAAUAUACAGAAUAAUUUGCUACUGAAAGCAUCUGAAAUUCAGAAGCAAUAAGAUGCUUGAGUCAACACUCAGGGGAAUAUAUAAGUUUAUAGAAAUAUCAGGACCUAUAUCCAUGACUUCUUAUUCUUAAUAGUAAAGGUUUAUUUGAUUUUUGCAGAACUCAGGACAGAGAAAAACAUCUAAAAUAUUGGGAGGAAAGUAACAUAUCUUAGAUAAUAAGGGGUGCAGUAGAGACUGAUCUUAGAGAAAGCACAUAACUUGCAAUUGAAAAUUCUAGUAUUUGUAUUAUCCUUUGAUUUUCUGUAUCUUAACAUAUUAGCUCCCUAACACUGCCAUGAGGGUUAUGCCCAUAAGCUCUCUAAGACCAUGACACUCUUUCAAUGUGAAAGUUUUACAGAACUAAAAAACAUUUCUAUCCACAUUAAACAAACCUCACGUGUAAAAGGAGGCAGGGUAAGGACUGUGCAGUCUGGAGAUGGGAGAGAAGGAGAGAACACCAUAUGUUCUCCUUGCUUACUGAAAACCUAUGUGAGACAAAAAGGCAUUCCAACUAUACUUUAUUUUGGAAUAAAACCAAGAUCAUAAUUUUUUAAUUAUUGAGGUGUGAAAAAAUAUUUUUAGUUGGUUUAAAAGCACAUUUUAUCAGUGUUUCUUAGCCAGCUCACUGAGUCAGUCCUCCUAAGGGCUAAAGACUUGAUCAUUCAUUUGAAAUCGUCCAGGAACAAACCAUCAAUAACUGAAUGCUGUUUGGAAAAUUUUAUAACAAUAAUAAAAUCACUUCUUUUUAUGAACUUAGAUAUUUUCUGUGGUGAUUAGGAGUAUUUUCCCUAAAGCUUUUUCAAAUUCUAAAAUAUGUUUCCUUAUGAUAUCAUUUACUCUGUUAAUAAUCUGGAAAGCCAAAUUAACUUUUCUCUCAAUUCUUGACAAGUCAAGGGAAUCUUUUAAAAAUAUGCUUGCAUUUUAUUUUUAGUUUGUUAGAGAAAAUCAAGAAUGUUGAAUAAAACAUAUAUGAGCAAAAAAUAUGGAGGACAUUGAAAUCUAAGAUCAGGUUCAGCUUAAGUUAUAGUUAAUCCAAGAUCAUAUUCAAUAUAGUCUAUAGUUUUCCCUUUUUGUAUAGUAUGUCCAUUAUCAUCUUAAAAACAUGACCACAUUCUCUUAUGAAUUAUAUGCUCUUUGGCAUAUAAAUACUGCAUGUUGUUUUAUGUUUCCCAGAAAGAUGUUUAGCAACUUACAAAGCAAAUUUAAUAUAAGCCACAUUCUUUUUCUUACUGUACACUUCUACUGGAAAAGAUAUACACUCAGAAAUUAUGAUACAAGAUGCUUAAAAAAACAGUCAAAAUGGUCUGGUCCAGUUCUAAAAAUACUGCCUGGUCUCAAACACGUCAUGGUUAGUGCUUCAUCUAUGAGUCAUCAGAAAUCUUCUCUUAUUUAUAGAUUUGCUUCUAUGAAGCCAGUUUAAUGUCAAUGCUUGCUUACUAGCAAGUAGAGAGAGAGAUAAAAUUCUGUAUUGGUCAUUUUACAAUAAAAUAGUGACACAUGAAAUUACAAGGAAGGCAAGAGAAGACACCUGAAAGAAAAUAGGCGAAUCUUUUCCAUCCUUGAUAUGUGCUACCUUUGGUCUCUCCUACCAAAAGUUGACUCAAUGGUCGGAAUGAGAGUCAUUGUCAAUCCCUCCGUGUCACUGAAUUAUUUAUAUACUGAGAAAUCACAAAAAAAAAUUCUGAAUUGGUUCUAGUGUAUCAGGGUCUUACACAGUGCUGAUAAUACUGUUUCAGUGAAUAGUGAUGGAACCUUAGUCUAUGGUGAGAAACACUAGCUAAAUUUAAUUACCACACACUUAUGAGUCAGUUUAGCACAGACCAUCUGACAAAUAAAACAAAAAGCAUGGGUGGCCGGUUAUAAAAUCUCUGUUAGGGCUGGGCUAACAGUCUUUCACUAGAGUGAGAAUCAGUUACAGGGAUUUAUAGGAGAGACCAACCCAACCCAGUGGCCUUCCUGUUCACUCCAGUCUGUAACCAAAGAGGGAACGAAUGUCAGAAGCUGUAAAUAUCAUUUUCAAAACAAGAUAUAAAAAAUCUUUCUGGAAUGAAAAGGAAUUUUAUUAUGUAAAGAAUGGACAAGAGUUGUUGAAAUUUUAUAUUACCUUAUAUAGCCCCAUAUAGUUUUACUUUAAUCUUCGGGCCUCCUCUCUCUGAGAUAAGAAGAGAGGUUUUCCUUUCAUUGGUUGGUGUUUACAGAGCUUCAGGUUAUCUUCCCUUUCCAAGGCCCUGAGAUUGGUAGGACACAGUUCCUCAUUAUCUAGUCUCACGGGAAUUCUAGUAUUACCUGUUCAUGCAAAUUACCUAAAAUAAAAAUUUGGUCUUAAUUAAACUUUUACACAUUGAAGCGAACCUCAGAUACCAUAAAAGUAAGAAAAAUGAAAUUUCAAAGGCAAACACUUACUCUCGUCAAUAGAGUAGGAAAAAGUAUCUGACUUUAUUAAACUUAGUCUAAACAAAUAAUUUAUAAAAAGACUCUGAGCUCCUUGUGCGCAGUCAUGCGAUUUUGGUUUAUUAUACUCAAACUGACCGUGAGAUCUGCAUUACCCUUGACACCCUGAAGGAAUAUUAAAAAGGAAGAAUGCUCUCUGGUGGAACAACUUGAGGUAGCCCUUGAGGACUUAAGGGAAUUAAGGAAAUGAUUCAAAGACAAUCUCAUACAGAGAAAAUGCAGCCAAGAUCUAGACGUAGUCUAGAAGCACACAUCUCAGGCUAGAUAUGUGACCAGAACUUCAAGUCUGAACUGGACAAGAACAGAAGAUGAGAUGGUAUGUAGACCAGUAAUGACUCAAAGCUGGGCCAAGGAAAGUACGUGCACACGCGCGCGCGCACACACACACACACACACAUACACACACACACACAUACACAUACACACACACACACACACACACACACACACACACACACACACACACUAGCCCAGAGGAAGAGUUCUUGCUUUGCUGAGGUCUCCCUAACCUACAAGACACCAUCUUGUUGCUCUUGUUGUUGUUCUUGUUAUUUUUGUAGCUGUUAUUCGUUUUCUGUUUUGUUUUUUGGGGUUUGUUUGUUUGUUUGUUUUUUCCUUUUCUCCACUACCACUUAACAUUGGACUGGUCUAGAGCUCGGUCCUUUGGUUUUGCUUCUCAAGUUACCAGUUGUAACUGUAAUAUGUUAGCUUUAACAAAUAUCUUAUGCCCAGGACUUUCAAACUCUGUCCACCCUUUUCUUGGUACUGGGAAUAGAAUCCAGAGCCUUCGAUGAGCUAGACAAGGUUUUCCCACAUCUCACCCUAUUCUCUGCUUUAUCAAGACUCUUGUCUUUCCCACUUAGAUGUCUGAUUGAAAUAAAAACUUUAACAUUGAACUCUAGAAGAUCCCCUGUAAAUUUGGCCCCCUGUGUAUUCUGGAUCUUCUCAUUCUUGGCAGCUCUGCUGUUUAAACUCUGACUAUUUAUUGUCAGGGGUCAAUCUUUUCAUUGAGUGUGCUGACUCUUUCAACUCUGUCUCAAGUUCCCUUUUAUAUCAUAAGCUAUAUUACUUUAGCGUUACUUUCAAGAUUUUCUUUAGUUUUUUCUUUUUUCUUUUUCUUUCUUUUUUUUUUUUCAGAGCUGGGGACCAAACCCAGGGCUUUGCACUUGCUAGGCAAGCGCUCUACCACUGAGCUAAAUCCCCAACCCCUUUUCUUUAGUUUUUAUAGAUACCGUUAAAGGUACACCUGGAUAUGGUAAUGAACACUUCCCAGCACCCAGGAGAAGUGGAGACAAAAGCAUCCCUAUUCUUGGCUAUAUUACAAUAUUCUGGCUUACCAAAAAUUAUAUAUGUACAUAGACAUAUUACACAAUGUAUAUGUGUAUAUACAUAUAUAAUAUGUAUUCCUAAUAAAUGUGUAUAUUAUAUACGUAAGUGAUUUACAUACAAUAUAAUACAUACUAUAUUAUAUAUGCAAGUGAUAAACAGUCUGAAAAAGAAGUUAGGUAAAUGGUAUUCUUUACAAUAGCCACAAAUAGCAUAAAAUACCUUGCUGUAAGUCUAAUCAAGCAAGUGAAAGACCUAUAUGAUAAGAACUUCAAGUUCCUGGAGAAAGGAACCAAGAAAGAAAUCAGAAGAUGGAAAGAUCUCCCUUGCUCACGGAUCCGUAGGAUUAACAUAGUGAAAUGGCCAUCUUACCAAAAGUAAUCUACAGACUCAAUGCAAUCCCCAUUAAAGUUCCAACACAAUUCUUCACGGAUCCUGAAAUAGCCAAAAAAGAAAGAAAGAAAAAAAGAAAGAAAGGAAGGAAGGAAGGAAGGAAGGAAGGAAGGAAGGAGAAAAGAAAAAGAAAAUCCUAAACAGUAAGAGAACUUCUGGAGACCUAAAGCUGUACUACAGAGCAAUAAUAGUAAAAACUGCCUGGGAUUGUUAUAGAUGGACCAUGGUGGAUCAAUGGAAUCGAAUCAAAGACCCAGAGAUACACCCACACACCUACAGAUACUUGAUUUUUCACAAAGAAGCCAUACAAUGGAACAGGGAGAGCAUCUUCAACAAUUGGUGCUGGUCUAACUGGAUGUCUGUCUGGAGAAGAAUGCAAACAGAUCCAUAUUUAUCACCCCACACAAAACUUGAGUCCAAAUCAAAGAUCUCGAUGUAAAACCAGACAGACAAUCUAAUAGAAGAGAAAGUGGGAAACAGGCUUGGAUGCAUUGGUACAUCAGACAAUUUCCUGAACAGAACACCAAUGGUUCAGACACUAAGGUCAAAAAUUAAUAAAUGGGACCUUGUGAAACUGCAAUGCUUCUGUAAGGCAAAGGACACUGUCAAUAGGACAAAAUGAUAGCCUACAGAUUGGGAAAAGAUCUUCACUAAUACUUCAUCCGACAGAGGACUAAUAUCCAAAAUAUAUAAAGAACUCAAGAAGUUCGACUCCAAAAAACCAAAUAACUGAAUCAAAAAAUGGGGUACAGAACUAAACUGAGAGUUCCAAACAGAAGAAUCUCAGAUGGCUGAGAAGCACUUAAAGAAAUGUUCAACAUCCUUAGUCACCAAGGAAAUGCAAAUCAAAUUGACACUGAGAUUCCAGCUUAUACCGAUCAGAAAGGCUAAGAUCAAAACCUCAAGCAACAGCACAUGCUGACAAGGAUGUAAAGAAAGAGGAACAUUCCUCUAUCGCUGGUGGGAUUGCAAACUAGUACAUCCUCUCUGGAAAUAAUCUGAUAGUUUCUCAGAAAAUUGGAAAUAGUUCUACCUGAAGACCCAGCUAUACUACUCCUGGGCAUAUACUCAAAAGACGCUCCAACAUAUAACAAGGACACAUGCUCCACUAUGUUCAUAGCAGUCUAUUCCUAAUAGCCAGAAACUGGAAACAACCCAGAUGUCCCUCAACUGAAGAAUGGAUACAGAAAAUGUGGUGCAUUUACACAAUGGAAUACUAUGCAGUUAUUUUAAAAAAAAAAAAAAGGACAUCAUGAAUUUUUCAGGCAAAUGGACAGAACUAGAAAAUAUCCUGAGUGAAGUAACCAAGACCCCAAAGGAUAUGCAUGGUAUAUACUCACUGAUAAGUGAAUAUUGGCCAACAUUUCAGAAUACCUAUUAUAGACCUCACAGACUCAGAGAAGUUAAACAAGAAAGCCCAAGUAAGGAUGCUUCAAUCCCAAUUCCACUUAGACGGGAGAACAAAAUAGUCAUGGAGGCAAAGGGAGGGAGGAACCUGGGACCUGGGUAGGUGAGGGGAGAGACAGGGGAAUGGGGGACAGGAUCAGGCAUAGGGAGAGACAAGAGAGAGGCCCAGAGGACUAGGAGAAUGAAUAGAAAUAUGUAAGCAGCUGCCAGGGGUCAGGGAUGGGGGAUUCUCUAAGAAGUCCCAGAGGUCUGGGAUACGGUAGGCUCUCAGGAGUCAAUGCAGGUGACCUUAACAGGAAUGCCCAACAGUUGGGAUAUGGAACCUGAAAAGACCACCUCUAGUAGCCAAACAGGACCUCCAGUAGCAGUAUGCAGACACUAACCCACUUACAAAACCUUUGGCCAAAAACUGUUCCUGUCUAAAAGAAAUACAAGAGCCAAGAUGGAGCAGAGACAGAAGUAAUGGCUGGACAGUGACUGGCCCAUUUUGAGACCAAGCCCAGGGGCAGGCAUCAAUCCCUCAUACUAUCAAUGAUGCUAUGCUGUGCUUGCCUAGCAUAGCCGUCCUCGGUUGGGAAGCUCUAAACAACAGCUUCCUGACAAAGUUCCAGAUACCCACAGACAAACAUUGGACGGAGGUUGGGGACCCCAUUGGAAGAGUUAGGGUAAGGAUUGAAGACCAGCAAGGAGAUAGUAACUGCACAGGAAGACCAACGGUGACAACUACCUGUACACCUGCAUGCUCCCAGAUACCGAGCCACCAACCAAAGAGCAUACAUGGUCUGGUCUUAGUAAGAGAGGAUGUGCUUAUCCUGCAGAGACUUGAUGCACCAUGGUGGGGGAUACCAAGGCGGAUAUGGGGCUGCCCUCUCAGAGGCAAAAGGGAGGGGAGGAACUGCACAAGGAGGGACCAAGGGUAGCAACAUUUGGGAUAUAAAUAAGUAAAUAAUUAAAAAUAAAUAAAAUGCACACGUUAAAUAUACAUAUAUAUUACACAAUGUAUAUAAUAUGUAUAUAUAAUUUAUAUCAUCUUACUAGUUACAGAAACAUAAUAUGUAGCUUUUUAUAAAAUUCACUAAAAUUUAAUUUUAUUUUAAUACAUUAAAAAUAAGUUUAACAAAUUAAAAAUGAAUUAAAAUAGAAAAUGGACACCCACACUCAUUAAAGAAACUUUAGUAAAGCUGAUAGCAUACAUUGUACCACACACAGUAAUAGUGGGAGACUUCAACACCCCACUUUGGGCAAUAAGCAAAUCAUGGAAACAGAAACUAAACAGAGACACCGAGAAACUAACAGAAGUUAUGAACCAAAUGGAUUUAACAGAAAACUAUAGAACAUUUCAUCCUAAAAGAAAAGAAUAUACCUUCUUCUCAGCACCUCAUGAUACCUUCUCCAAAACUGACCAUAUAAUAGGUCACAAAACAGGCCUCAACAGAUUCAAGAUCAAAAUAAUCCCAUGCAUCCUAUCAGAUCACCAUGAACUGAGGCUGGUCUUCAAUAACAAUAAAACCAACAAAAAGCCCACAUACACAUGGAAACUGAACAACACUCUACUCGUAGAUAACUUGGUCAAGGAAGACAAAAAGACAUUAAAGACUUUUUAGAAUUUAAUGAAAAUGAAGGCACAACAUACCCAAACUUAUGAGACACAAUGAAAGCAGUGCUAAGAGGAAAACUCAUACCUCAAAAAAACAAACAAACAAACAAACAAAAAACCUGAGAGAGCAUAUAUCAGCAGCUUGACAGCACACCUGAAAGCUCUAGAACAAAAGGAAGCAAAUACACCCAAGAGGAGUACACAGCAGAAAAUACCAAACUCAGGACUGAAAUAAACCAAGUAGAAGCAAAAGGAACUAUACAAAAAAAAAAAAAUCAACAAAACCAGGAGCUGGUUCUUUGAGAAAAUCAAUAAGAUAGAUUAAACCCUCAGCCAGACUAACCAGAGGGCACAAAGACAAUAUCCAAAUUAACAAAAUUAGAAAUGAAAAGGGAGACAUAACAGCAGAAACUGAGCAAAUUAAAUAAAAUCAUCAGAUCCUACUGCAAAAGCCAUACUCCACAACACUGGAAAUUCUGGAUGAAAUGCAAAAUUUUCUAGACAGAUACCAGGUACCAAAGUUAAAUCAGGAUCAGAUAAACCAUCUAAACAGUAUCAAAACCACUAAAGGAAUAGAAGUAGUUGUGAAAAGUCUCCCAACCAAUAAAGGCCCAGGACCAGAUGGGUUUAGUGCAGAAUUCUAUCAGACCUUCAAAGAAGACUUAAUACCAAUACCCUUUCAAACUAUUCCACAAAAUUGGAACACUACCCAAUUCAUUCUUUGAAGCCACAAUUACACUUUUACCUAAACCACACAAAGACCCAACAAAGAAAGAGAACUACAGACCAAUUUCCCUCAUGAAUUUUGAUGCAAAAAUACUCAAUAAAAUUCUCGAAAACUGAAUCUAAGAAUACAUCAAAACAAUCAUUCACCAUAAUCAAGCAGGCUUCAUCCUAGGGAUGCAGGGAUAGUUCAAUAUAUAGAAAUCCAUCAAUGUAAUCCACUAUAUUAACAAGCUCAAAGAAAACCCACAUGAGCAUCUCAUUAGAUGCUGAGAAAGCAUUUGACAAAAUUCAACACCCCUUCAUGAUAAAAGUCUUGGAAAGUGCUGAGAGAUUUCUGAGUGGCUAAGAGCGCUGACUGUUCUUCCAGAGGUCCUAAGUUCAAAUCCCUGCAACCACAUGGUGGCUCACAAUCAUCUGUAAUGGGAUAUGAUGUCCUCUUCUGGUGUGUCUAAGCUACAGUGUACUCAUAUACUUCAAAUAAAUAAAUCUUUUAAAAAAAUGUCUUGGAACGAGGAAUUCAAGGCCCAUACCUAAACAUAGUAAAAGCCAUAUACAGCAAACCAGUAGCCAACAUUAAACUAAAUGAAGAGAAACUUGAAGCAAUCCCACUAAAAUCAGGGACUAGACUAGAAUGUCCACUUUCUCCCUACCUAAUCAAUAUAGUAUUUGAAGUCCUAGCCACAGCAAUUAGACAACAAGAAGAGGUCAAAGGAUACACAUUGGAAAAGAAGAAGUCAAAAUAUCACUAUUUCAGAUGAUAUGAUAGAAUAUUUAAGUAACCCCCAAAAUUCCUUGAUGAUAAUGGACUGAACCUCUGAACCUGUAAGCCAGCCCCAAUUAAAUAUCAUCUUAUAAAAGUUGCCUUCUCAUAGUGUCUGUUCACAACUGUAAAAUCCUAAGACAGAACCUUAGCCCAGGUGACCGUGCUUUGCUUGGGUUUAUUGAGCCCUGGUACAGAGCUCAGGCUGAACCAACAGCCUCCUGUACAUUUUGUUUUAUACAUUUAAGUUAACAUUACCUAGUAACAAGACACAAGCUAAUUACACCUGCUCUGCCUGUAACUAUUAGUGUUUGAAUCAACCAAUGAAUAACUCCAUUGGUAUACAAGAACAGGUAAGCUUAACUCAGUUUAUGCCAAUAAUGGAAACCGUAAGCCUGUGCUCCUGUGCUCAGGAGAGCUAGAAGGCAACUGAGGCCAAGAGCCAAGGGCCCAGAAGAGAUAGUGGAAUCCAAGGAAAGUGAACUGGUUUGCAGAGAACAGAAGUGGUCUGAAUCUUGGGCUCCCAUUUCCAACAGUUCCUAAAAACAGUUCUUUGGCUGCUGUCCAUGGGAAACCUACUUUCUAGUUUGAAGAAAGUAGGGCCCUGAGGGGAAGCAGGGCCAACAGGGUACAGACCACUUCUCUGGCAUCUCAAACAUCUUGGGGUCUCCAAGGCAACUUCAAUGUUACAGCUUCUUGUUUCAGUGUCUGGGAUCCACACGUGAUCUUCUAGGUUACUCCAAAUGGCUUGGGCCAUAUCUCCAGUUCUGCCCUCUAUAGCAAUCUAAGCUCAGGUUGAUCCACUCCACGGCUGCUGUUCUUGAUGAUCUUCUCAGGGUACUGGCAUCUGCAAUACGCUGGGGUCUUCUGCUGUACCUAGGUUUCACCAAUUGUCUCUCGUAGGCUCUUUUCAUGGUGCCAAGUCUCAGCUCCUUUGCAUGACCCCUUCAGUCCUGGCCUGCAAACUGCAACUGAGGCUGCACCUUCACCAGUGGUCUUCCAUGGCCUCUCACAGUGCCAAACCACAGCUGCUCUUCGUGACCCCUUCAUGUCCUCAAACCCAGUACCAUUUGGGUGACUCCCACACAUUACCAAGUAUAGCUACAGCACAAGGUGCAAUCUUGGCUAUCUCUGGAACACAGCUUCUUUGUGCUCUCAGAAAACACUUUCCAGAAGAUUUCACCUCAGUGAUGCUGGUCUCUUUUUUAUCACCACUAAUUUCUUAGCUCCAGCUAACCAGCGCCAAUUGUCCCAGUAGUCCCUUCUAUUCUGGACUCUAAAAUCCAGAGCCACUUGGCCAAAACUGCCACGUGCUGCUGCUUGCUGAAGUUGGAACACACACACCCGCCCCUUAUUCUUUUACCAGCUUUCGGUUUUCUAGCUCCCUCACUGACUAAGUUUGGUUAUCCUGGAACUUGCUCUCAGAGAGCUGCAUGGCUCUAUCUUCUGUGAUUAAAGGUAUGUACCACCAGGCCUGAAUUUAAACAUUUCUUUACCUAGAACUUGCUCUGUCCCAGGCUGGCCUUGGACUCAGAGAUCUACUUUGUCUCUUGGGAUCAAAGGUGUAUAGCACCAGGCCUGCACCUAAAUUUAGCUAGGUGGGAUCUUACCCCAAAGUUACCACUCCCUUAAUUCAAUUUAAUAUCCUUGAACACAGGAUUCAACUCCAUUUCACUUCCUGGUGCCCCUUUAAUACUAAAAUCAUGUAUUUUAUAUUUUCCCUUUCUAAGCUUGCUAUGCUUAUUCAAAACAUUCUUCCUGGAACUGAACCAGAGAACAAAGUCUAUGAUGGGCAUUUCUGAGACUUCCUUUGUCAAUGCAAUUAAUCUGAGUUUCUUCACCUUAGCUUCAGGCAGACUCUUUGGGCAAGGGCAAAAAGCAGCCACAUUCUUCACCAAAAUACUACAAAAACAGUCUCUGGGCCACAUACUGAAGUUCUUUUCCACUGCAUGCUCUUGGGCCAGGUCUACACAGUUCAAACCACUCACAACAACAAUGUCUUCCAUAUUCCUACUAGGAUAUCACAUUAAGCCCCACUUAAAACAUUCAAUAGCUUUCCAAAUCCAAAGUCCCCAAAUCCACAUUAUUCCAAACAAAAGCAUGGUCAGGCCUAUCACAGCAAUACUCCAGUCCCUGGUACCAACUUCUAUCUUAGUUAGGGUUUUACUGCUCUGAAUGGACACCAUAACCAAGGCAACUCUUAGAAGGACAACAUUUCACUGGAGCUGGCUUACAGGUUCAGAGGUUCAGUCCAUUAUCAUCAAGGUGGGAGCAGGGCAGAAUCUAGGCAGGCAUGGUGCAGGAGGAGCUGAGAGUUCUACCUCUUUAUAUGAAGGCAAACAGGAGAAGACUGGCUUUCAGGCAGCUACUUUGAGGGUCUUAAAGCCCAUACCCACGGUAACACACCUCCUCCAACAGGGCCACACCUUCAAGUAGUAUAACUCCCUAGGCCAAGCAUAUACAAGUCAUGACAGGUUCCAUACCAGCAAACUGGAGCUGAGUUGUUUGGCUUUCUGAGAAAUAAGAGAACAGAGAGAGCUAAGUCCUCUAGGGGCCAGGGAUAGUACAAUUCAGGCAAUCUCUCCAUUUUAACCCUAUGUCAAAAUGACCAAUCCGCCUUUAUUAUCUGUUCUGAUUUCUUUGGCCUUUUGCCUGCAAAAACACCCUCCCCACUCUUAUGAAAGAACUUUCUAAGCUUCAUAUGAGAUGUUGCCUUUACUCACAAGUGUCUCAGAUAAAAAGCUGGCUUAUUUAAAUUUGGUCUUCUGGUAUUAUGUAGACCGUAUAUAAUGAAGCCAAGGUUUUUGCUUUAGAACCUUAUAGCAAUGUGGACAUGUUAUUAGCAUUAGACAAGCUGGAAAUAAGUAAAUUAAGCCCUUUGCUGUGUAUGCUCAAUAAAAUCCAAAUUUUCUAAAA